UGAUAAGAUAAUGUUCUUACGAAAAGCUUUUAGCUGAACAAUCUACGAAUGUAAUUUUAUAUGUUUCAAAUUAUUUGAUAACAUUCAAGAACCAUAUUGCAUAAAUAUUUUCAUUAUGAUAAAUUUAUAAUGUAAUGUUUAUGUAAUAUACAAUACAAAAAGAAGUUGAUAUGUUGUCGGAAAAGUAGUAAAAGACAUUUUCAAGAAUAUUUACUUACAGCCGACAUUUUAUCGUAUUUACAGGGUUGUAUUAAUCUGUUGUUCUAUUCGAUAUAUAUUUUAUAUGUUCACGCACGAUGUCCGACUUUAUAUAAACGAAAAAAAUUGAGAGAUGCUAAAACAGUAUUGCUUUAUUUGAAUGCGCGCGGAUAAAUUAUAUUUGGGUUACGGAAGAGGGCAAUUUUCUUAUUAUACAGUUGGCGAAACUGAAACGUAGUUUACCUAGAUGGUAGGAGAAGGAACGCAUGCGUACUCGUUUCGCGACGCAACAGUCGUAAACAACAUUUUUUCCAUUCAGAUUUCUAACGAGUUUACGCUUGCACGAUAAUUAGAGCGUCCAGGCGGGCGCACCAGGAUUUUUCCGCGUUUUCGUACGAUUUCGCGGAAAAAAUGGGGUCAAGCUUGCACGUUCAGUGUACGUGAUACGUAAACUUAUUGCUUUUUGGCAUGCGGUGACGUCAUCCGGAUCGUUCUGGAAGAACCCUGCAGGACAAUAAUGGCGGAUUUGUAUGCUAAAUACAACUGCACCUAUUGUCAAGAGGAUAUCUCGGGCCUACGUGUCAGAUGUGUAGAAUGCCCAGAUUUCGACCUCUGUUUGCAGUGUUUUUCCGCUGGAGCUGAAAUUGGCCCACAUAAAAAUGAUCACUCUUAUCAGUUUAUGGAUUCUGGCACCAUUAGUAUAUUUAAUGGUAGAGGAAAUUGGACUGCUAGGGAACAACUUAGACUCUUGGAUGCCAUUGAGCAAUUUGGUUUUGGAAAUUGGGAAGACAUUAGCAAACAUAUUGAAACACGUUCACCAGAAGAAGCAAAAGAAGAAUAUAUUGCUAGAUACCUUGAUGGCAAUAUUGGAAAACACACAUGGCCUCCUACAGAAAGCUAUAAACCAAAUCUUACAGAUCAAACUAAGUCAGAUCAUGGACCUCUAUCGCCUGAUCUCACAUCUCGGUUACCACCUUUGGAUAUCACUCCAGAAGAAGCUGCACAACUGGGAUAUAUGCCACAACGAGAUGAUUUUGAAAGGGACUACAACCAUGAAGCAGAGUCACUUGUUUCUUCAUUAUUCUUGAACCCUGCAGAAGAUGAUGAUUUGGACAUAGCACUUAAACUUGCACAAGUUGAUAUGUAUACCAAUAAUUUAAGAGAGAGAGCGCGACGAAAAAGAGUCGUACGGGAUUACCAGCUUGUUUCUGCAUUUUUUGCUUCGUCUAGGAAAGAUAAGACAGUGAAAAGAAAACAAUCGAAGGAGGAAAAGGAGUUUAGGGAUAGGAUGCGAGUAUUUGCACAGUUUUACACAGCACAGGAAUACGAACAGUUUCUAACAAAUCUUGAAAGAGAAAGAGAACUACGAUUACGUCUUUCAGAAUUGUAUCGUUACCGAGAGCAUGGUAUUACAAGACACGAAGAAUGCGCUCAUUUCGAGCAAGUGAUGGCACAAACUCAGGGACAAAAUGACGCAGUGGAUCACUGGCAUGAAAAAAAAUCUGCAUUUGUGAACAGAUUGUAUCAGUUUGCAUUUCACUUAGGGCAGCAGUGGGCCGUCCACACCAAUACACCGCCACACCUCAAAAAAAAGAGAAGAAGAAAAAAAUUACUCUUCCACCGACCGAAAGUACAUUGCAAAAGACUUACCCAGCAGCAGCUUCUCAAUCAAUCAAACCAAUCCCAAUCGGAUGACGACUCCAGCCAAUCAGUGGGUGGAGCCGGAUAACAAUCCAAAUUGUUCCAGCCAGCAUUCUACCAGCUCCAGUUCUGCCACAGAAAAAAAUUAUACUGCGGCUGCUUCCGGAAAAUCUUGUGCAACAACACGAGACUCAGAGGAACGGGAUAUAGAAAUGGAAGCAGCGGCUCAUUUAUUAACAAAACAAGAAAAGUCUCUGUGUCUUCAACUUGAUUUGAAGCCAACGCAGUAUUUAACACAAAAGACGUUGUUGUUGCAAGAAUAUCUAAAUGGUAAUAGAAGAUCAGGUGUUGUACCUCAGUCGGAACCAGAGAGUAAGAUAUUACAUUAUCUGGUAGCAAAUGGCUGGAUCGCGGCCAACUGAUUAAAUAUGUAAAAAAUUAACGACCAUUUCAACUCUAAGUCACCUUUUAUUUUGCAAACUAAGUCCUAGGUAUAAUUGAAAUUUGAGUCUGAUUUAAUUAACAUAUAUAGGACAGGUAGAGAGAGAAUGUGUGUGUACAUAAUUUAAUAUGUAAAGAUAUUCUUUACUCUUGUUCAAAUGGUGGACGUUUAGAGAAAUGUAUUGGCGGAUGAAUUGUUAGGAACGAUAGAAAACAAGAUUAAUUAACUUGUCUUAUUCGUUAGUGAGACAUUAAUUUAGACUGUCUUUAAAAUGACUCCAUUAAAAAGUAUAAAAUUCUUUUAUUAAGAGUUUUAUAGUUUUUGUUAAAUUAACAGUUAUCGUAUAUAACGAUUUAACUGUCAAUUUUAUUGUUGAUAUUCUUGAUGGCUUUUUAAAGACUCAAAUAUUAAAUCAACGCCGUUCCGCAUGGUAUACUUCCACUAACGUGUGUACUUUAUUCUAAUGAACAUUGUUACCUUAGAUUGUCGUUUACCUUUUAACAUUACAUUAUGAAUUAUUUAACACUUCUUGUCUAGAAAAUCUCUUACACUGCCUUUAUAGAGCCAUGAACAUAUUGCUCAAUUAAUUCUUCCACUGUCAUGUUUUCUUGUACAGACUAUUAAUUGCACAUGCUCCUUUCUAUCUGUUUUAAAUGUGAUUUGUUACCAUACUUGACAAUAAGGAAAUGUAAGGAAGAAGUCACGUCGUAGUUGAGAUUUCUAGAUCGUUGUUUAAUACAACACUUGAAUGAUUGGAACAUAUCCAUCCGGGAAUUUAUCAUCGACCGAUACUUUAUGUACAAGUAUUUAAAAGUUUUCGGCUGGAUAUGUAUUAAAAUAUUUAAAUAAAAAGCACUUUAAAAUAUUUAUAUAGCUGAGAUUCAUGAAAGUAUUGAAUAUUAUUAGCUUAAUAAUAAGUGUAAUGUCCUUGACAAAUUAUACACACAUAGAUAAACAUACACAUACAGAUAUUUCUUCAUAUUCUUACAAAUUUGUUCAUUAAAAAAAAUACUCUAAUUGUCUUUCGCAUGCAUGAUUCAAGCGCAAACUAAUGCAUUUUAUUCCAUAGAUUCUUGAAACGAUUCAAAGGAUAUUCCUUAUUGAUAAAGGAUGGUACAAAGAGCAGGUUAUAAGAGGAUAUUUGUUAUUACAAUGAAGAUACUAUGGUAUUAGAUAAUUUAUCUGUUGCCUGUGUAAUAUUUGUAUAUAUGAACGAGAAAUAGUACCUUCUUAGUGAUACUACUUUUAAAGCACAAAACGUAAUCGCGGUAUAAACUAACGAAGAGUUAAGUGCAUAGUGUGAUAAUGAUGGUGUUCGGAGCCAAACUCGUAUUACAAAAAAAGACACUUUAACGUUUAAAAAAAAAGCUAAUCAUUUUCCAUUGCUUCUAAUAGUAGCUAUUUAUAAUUUUAAAUUAUUAAAUGAAGAAAGGAGGAGUAAGAUAUUAAAUUUGAGAAUGAGAAGAAGAUAUACCCUGGAUGGACGAUAUACCGUGUUAACAACAGCUUUUGUUGAGCUUAAACGUACAAGGUGGAAGCAUCGAGGAACCACGCUAUUUGCUCGAUGGCAAAGUUCAUACCAUUUGUAUUCCUGUAUGCUUAGGAAACUGGAAAAGAUCUAUAACAAGAUUAGUCGUUUGCUUUAACGUAAUUCAGUACUUCCAAGAAUAUCUUCGUUUACCUAAGUCUCGAACGGCUUAAAAUCGAGAGAAAGAUUAAGAUGAGAAAAGUUUAUCUUGUAUUAUUAUAUAUGCAAAUGUAAAAAAAUAUGUGAAAAAGAUAUAUAUAUAUAUACAUAUGUACAUAUACGAAAAAGAAAAUUGCUUACGAUCGUAAGUAAUUAUUAAAAAAAGUCAUAUAUUUGAAGAGAAAAAAGAAAUCUAAAAAAAUACCUUUCAUUUCGAAAUAAUACUUAUUGUGGCAUAUUGCUUAAGAACUAAAUAGCUAGAUAACAAAGUAGGGAAAUAGCUGCUCAUAUUUUUUACGGAGAGUAGAAGACUAUUAUCCCUUUUAUUCGAUGUAACUGUAUUUUUCGCCCAAGCUUCCGCAAAUGGGCGCGAUAAUUUUUUUACGCUCACCCUUAUGAUGUUUAUUUUUCUUUUUUUUUUUUUUAUUGCUUAUUUCAGACCUGCACGGAAGUCGAUUGAUGUGCGAGUUCCGUUUAUUAUCGCGUAAUUUUUACGAUAGCGCUAGAUCUAUUCUUCUUUUUUUUUUUUUUAUUUUGCUUAACAUUGUUUCUAUGUUCGUAGUAGAUUUUAUUUUUAUUUAUUGCUUCGCGGAACUUUCACAUUCUUUUAAGACGCUUUUAAUGCACCCUUUUGUAAAUCAAAUAUUUUGAAAGCUUUAUACUUUUACUUUUUUGUUUUUCUUCUUUUUUCCUCGGUUUACCUUAGUUUUUCUUCGUUGUUUUCUAAUUGUUGAUGGUAACUUGCACGGAUCGACAUGUCCGUCGUUUCACUCUAAUAUUUCUAUGAGAAAUGGUCCACUGUAAAAAUAGAGACUGUUCAAACGAAUGAACAUAAAGUUAUCUCGAACGAAGAGACCGCUACGCCUUCCUGUAGUUACUUAAAACAUAUAGUAAUUUACGAAGUUGAAAAGAAUAAUCCGAUAACGUGAAAACGUCGCGGCGAUCUUUGUAACAAAUACAUAAGCGUACUGCGUCGUUCUAAUUUUUAUAAAAUUUAGCGAACGAAUUGAAUAUAUAUAUAUUUUUUUUUUUUGUUUUGUAUCGAAAGACGAUAACAUAUAGUGAUUUGUUUUGUUCGAAGAGAUGAGAAUGAUCGUCUACCGAAGAGUGAAUGUAUUGUCGUUGGAUUGGAAGUGUUUCAAAAUUGAAUACCAGUUUUAUUCUCAUAAGUAUUUGUAUAA
Molecule: RNA transcript, 5149 nt
Organism: Bombus impatiens (common eastern bumble bee)
Lineage: Eukaryota; Metazoa; Arthropoda; Insecta; Hymenoptera; Apidae
Gene: Ada2b
Gene name: transcriptional adapter 2B
Exons: 10
Source: RefSeq, a predicted model, not a curated record